CAGUAGCCGCGGUAAUACGUAGGUGGCAAGCGUUGUCCGGAAUUAUUGGGCGUAAAGGGCUCGCAGGCGGUUUCUUAAGUCUGAUGUGAAAGCCCCCGGCUCAACCGGGGAGGGUCAUUGGAAACUGUUAAACUUGAGUGCAGGAGAGAAAAGUGGAAUUCCUAGUGUAGCGGUGAAAUGCGUAGAGAUUAGGAGGAACACCAGUGGCGAAGGCGGCUUUUUGGCCUGUAACUGACACUGAGGCGCGAAAGCGUGGGGAGCAAACAGGAUUAGAUACCCCCGUAGUCCCUGUCUCUUAUAC
Molecule: ribosomal RNA, 301 nt
Filed under: uncultured bacterium
Lineage: Bacteria
Description: partial 16S ribosomal RNA
Rfam family: Bacterial small subunit ribosomal RNA
Source: RNAcentral